UGUGUAAAGGUUGCUUCAUUGAAACCAUUAGCUGCCUCUCCUCCAAAGUAGUGAAUGGUUCUGUUGUUGGCAGUGCUGUUUCGUUUCCAACAGCUGAAGUUUCACCCGAGAAUUGGAUUACUUGUACAUUUUGUGCUGUUUCUAUUUGGUCGAUCUUUGAUGUUGCUUUAUUUGAAGUACCUGAUGUUGUAGUAUUUCUGGGAAUAUAAACUGGAGCGUUAUGGUUCAAGUGGCUGUUUGGAUUUGCUGCAGAUGGCAGAUUUGCAUUACAAUUGAUAGUUGCAGGAUUCCCUUGAAAUUUUGGCUUGACUGGAGCCUCCCUAUCCUCUCCUGUACUAUCGUAAUCAUCCUCUUGAUCUUCUUCUGCAGAUGAGAAACCAGUAAAUCCUUCACCCCAGCCCUCGUCAUCAUCAAUUUCUCAUUGGUCUUUCCAGAGUUUCGAUUUAAUGACCAUGUCCCUCAUGUUAGCUAGAAUUAGUUGUUUGUUCUUUCCAUUGGAGAUUGAAAGUUCCCCAAGUGCAGCAAAUGAGUUAGAGCUUGUUAGUAAUGGUGGACUCUUUUCUGCGAUCUGCUUUAUUUUUGUUUUUCAGAGUUUCUUUUUCUGUUGGACCUAUAUGACCAAUUGUUCCUUGCAGUAUCUUGUCCAGUUGCCCUUGUUUGUUUGUAUCAUCAGAAGGCUGUAGAUCAAGCUCACCUUGAUACAAGAUAGUAUUAGAGACAUUUGCAGCUGCUGUAGGUAUUGAGAUGGUCAUACUGUCUUGUUGAACCAUGUCAGGCUUGUGAGGUAUCUUGUCGAAAUGGGUUCUGCGCAAUAUCAUCAGCUGUAUGACUUGCUGUUAUUUGAAUGACAACAUCAUCACUCCCAGAUAUUGCUCGAUCAUCAAGACUUUGCAAAUGAAGUGUAGAAUCCAUCUUUGGCAAAAUAGAAGCUGCAACAGUUGUUUCAUUAUGCAAUGUCCAGUUGGUACUCUUGUUACCCUUUGUAACAAAUGCUGCAAAUUCCAAUUCCAUAACAUCACAUUGAUCACCCGCCUCUUUAUUCUGCCCAGUCAUUUUAAUUGCAUCCAAUGCUAGAGUUUCCUGAACAAUAGUCGGUACAUAUAUCUCUUCUGCUCCUAGCUGCUGAACAUUAUAUAUGUAUUACUGUCCUUUGGAUAGUUCAGUUGUACUGGGAGGGAUAGAAUUAACCAAAACUGAUGCUUUAUUCUUGCUUUCUUGUUGUCC
Molecule: long non-coding RNA, 1224 nt
Filed under: Nicotiana benthamiana
Lineage: Eukaryota; Viridiplantae; Streptophyta; Magnoliopsida; Solanales; Solanaceae
Description: long non-coding RNA (NBEN_LNC007671)
Source: RNAcentral